GUCACUAUGUCCUGCCUGACCAAAGAGGACACGGGCUGGUACUGGUGUGGCAUCCAGCGGGACUUUGCCAGGGAUGACAUGGAUUUUACAGAGCUGAUUGUAACUGACGACAAAGGAACCCUGGCCAAUGACUUUUGGUCUGGGAAAGACCUAUCAGGCAACAAAACCAGAAGCUGCAAGGCUCCCAAAGUUGUCCGCAAGGCUGACCGCUCCAGGACGUCCAUUCUCAUCAUUUGCAUACUGAUCACGGGUUUGGGAAUCAUCUCUGUAAUCAGUCAUUUGACCAAAAGGAGGAGAAGUCAAAGGAAUAGAAGGGGUAAGUAGCUAUUGUUGAGGGAGGGGGUGGGCAAGAAUUAGAGAAAAUGAAAGAGGUCAAGGAGCAGAUUUCAAAUGAGUGAAUGAGAGCCUCUUCAUAUUGCCUGGUCACCUGGAGACCAAUGCAGCCAGCCAUGGGCUGGGGUAGAUAUCUGCUUGAUGGUGACAAGGCAUCACGAGAAGUGACAGAGGGAGCACUGGAGCUUUCUUAAGUGGAUACAUGUGUAGGUCAGGAAGGAAGGAGGUCCUGAGACAACCACACCAGGUUCCCAUCUGCAGAGCCACCUACCUCCCCAGCACACAAACUUCGGGCUCCUGUCGAAGGAAUGAGCUUCUGGGACCGCUGGGUAAGCAGGUAUAGAAGAGUCUCCUUUUUCAUAUACACAGGAUGUUGCCCUGUUGCCCAGGCUUGAGUGCCGAAGUAUG
This 741-nucleotide long non-coding RNA is filed under the name Homo sapiens (human). RNAcentral's name for it is "non-protein coding lnc-ADORA3-5:1". The record is from RNAcentral. Lineage: Eukaryota; Metazoa; Chordata; Mammalia; Primates; Hominidae.